UUUUAUCUUCAUGAAAGAAGAUUUAUUAAGUUAAGAGCAAUACAUGAAUUGGGUAUUAUUGAAACUACAAGGCUUUCUUGACUCAUAAUAGUAAAUUUUCUACUCUGUUGGCAGAAAAGCACUAUGUUUUCUGUUCCCAGGCUACUCAUGUAAAAUCCUUGGUAUUAUUUUUGCUUUCGCUGUUGAACAUUUGUGAAGUGUUUAAUUAGCCUUCUCAAGGUAGAUCAAAACCUCAAACACAAUUAACAAAUUGAUAUUAUGCCGCAAAGAGGAAAAUCUCCUGUUCUUGUUCAGACAACAAAACAGUCCGUAUAUAAUAGUCCAUGAUGAUUACUGUCUCCUCGACUCCUCUGUGCACUUGCUGCUUAGUGUGUGUUUGUACAAGGCCAUCUUGUCAGGCUGCAUCCUUUAUUACUGCCACUAGAAAGAAAACAAAACAGUUGGAUUUUGGUUUAUAUUAUUUUAUAUAUUACAAAGCAGCGCUAUUAAGUAUCAGCACUGGCACCGACUUCAGUGGCAGCAGAGUGUAAGGGAUCCUUCCCAAUAGAUGGUCACUCUGGAGUCACCCAGAGAUUUCAGAUAAAAAUGUUGCCAGUAAUGGCAAAGAUCUACUUGCUUUUUAUUUCACCCGCGGACAAGGAUGGAGGCUUCUAAGUACUGGCAAAUGAAGCCAUUUGCAAAAAAUAAACGUAGUAGAAACUCACAGUGAAAGGCACCACAGUAAUCAACUGCAAAACACCUCCUGUACAAAAGGUCAGGAAGCACAUGUGCUCCAAAUGCUCUACGGCUUCUUUGUAAACAUGAAGAGAAAUACAUCUAGAAUUCAGCCGCAAGUAUUUCUCUAGUAACAUAAGCCUGCUCCAGGUUUUGUUCUCUGACUGUGCUUGUACUGUUGCUAGAAAAGAUGAUCUGGACCUGCCUGCACUCCCGAAAUGGAGGAACCUGUGAUGGGUAAGAGAUGUCAGCUCAGCACUCUCAAAAGGAAGUAAGAAAUCCAUUCUUCAUGUCCGAUCCCAGCCGAUCAAGCUUGCAAUAAUUGGAGCGAGGACGCAAACUGUGGGCCAGAUCAGGUCUUCAGACUUCACCCACGCUCUGCCAGAGCCGUGUCCUGCUGCAGCCCGUGCCAGCGCACUGGUGAUUUAUGGUGGGUGGAAACUCCACUCCCCUGCUCCAACAUGUUUGUAGAAGGGGGUGGGACAGUCCAGGAGACCUGCUUCUCCUCCUCCUUCUCAUCUGGAGACAAAGCAAGGCCAGAUUUCCUUGGGUUUAUAUGUAAUUGUUCAAGACACAUGGCAGUUGGUUUGCAUGAGGAAGUAACCACACUGCACGCAAUACAGCCCUCCAUGUUAUUGCCUUCCAUCUGUUGGUUACAAUGGAACUAAUGGAGUUAUGCUGCAGUCCCUGUAAGGUAGAGAAGUGUGCCUGUAUGACAUAAAUCACAAUAUAAACCAACACUGCUCUUGGAUUGCAACCCAGAAAGCCAACUGUGUCCAGGGCUGCAUCACCAGCAGUAUGAGCAGCAGGUCGAGGGAGGGGAUUCUUCCCCUCUACCGCACCCUCGUGAGACCCCACCUGCAGCUAGUCCUGUGUCCAGCUCUGGGGCAAAAACACAAGAAGGAUGUGGACCUGCUUAAGC
Molecule: long non-coding RNA, 1636 nt
Filed under: Strigops habroptila (Kakapo)
Lineage: Eukaryota; Metazoa; Chordata; Aves; Psittaciformes; Psittacidae
Description: lncRNA (ENSSHBG00005015200.1)
Source: RNAcentral